GAGGUGGGAGGAUCACUUGAGCCCAGGAGGUCAAGGCUGCAGUGAGCUGUGAUCAUGCCACUGCACUCCAGCCUGAGUGACAGAGUGAGACCCUGUCUCA
MicroRNA precursor from Aotus nancymaae (Ma's night monkey), 100 nucleotides. The record is from Ensembl. Lineage: Eukaryota; Metazoa; Chordata; Mammalia; Primates; Aotidae.